This 602-nucleotide ribosomal RNA is filed under the name Nisaea denitrificans. RNAcentral's name for it is "bacterial SSU rRNA". It matches the Rfam family "Bacterial small subunit ribosomal RNA", at positions 67 to 705 of the family's 1533-position model. Lineage: Bacteria; Pseudomonadati; Pseudomonadota; Alphaproteobacteria; Rhodospirillales; Thalassobaculaceae. The record is from RNAcentral.
CGAGAAGGUGUCUUCGGACACUGGACAGUGGCGCACGGGUGAGUAACGCGUGGGAACCUGCCCCGAGGUACGGAACAACGGCUGGAAACGGCCGCUAAUGCCGUAUGUGUCCUGAGGGAGAAAGAUUUAUCGCCUUGGGAGGGGCCCGCGUCCGAUUAGCUAGUUGGUGAGGUAAUGGCUCACCAAGGCGACGAUCGGUAGCUGGUCUGAGAGGAUGAUCAGCCACACUGGGACUGAGACACGGCCCAGACUCCUACGGGAGGCAGCAGUGGGGAAUAUUGGACAAUGGGGGCAACCCUGAUCCAGCAAUGCCGCGUGUGUGAUGAAGGCCUUAGGGUUGUAAAGCACUUUCACUGGUGAAGAUGAUGACGGUAGCCAGAGAAGAAGCCCCGGCUAACUCCGUGCCAGCAGCCGCGGUAAUACGGAGGGGGCAAGCGUUGUUCGGAAUUACUGGGCGUAAAGGGCGUGUAGGCGGCGGUCUUAGUCAGGCGUGAAAGCCCGGGGCUCAACCUCGGAAUAGCGCUUGAUACUGGAUUGCUUGAGACCGGAAGAGGGUAGUGGAAUUCCCAGUGUAGAGGUGAAAUUCGUAGAUAUUGGGAAGA